UAAAAAAGGGUGGAGUAAGGUGACUGGGGCAAUUAUAUCUUGCUAUUUAACCCCCCGGAUACUUCAAUGAAUUCUUUGUAAAGGUCAGAGUUACCAAUCACAUGGAAAAGCCAGUGGGCUAUGAAACAGGUGUAUUUUCUCAGAGGUAGGUUAGGUAAGACAAAAUUAUCAGUAUUAGGGUAAGUUCUUUAUUAGUUAAAUUAUUUAUUGCUCCAGGUUAAAUUAAGUAUUUGAGAUAGUGCUUCAUAAUAAAUAAAUAGAUACUAUGAGGAUUCAGACAAGAAUGUUUGAAGACUGACUGAAGUGAAAGCUUCAUGGAUUGUAAAAUAAAUAAGAGUUAUUAGGGAGAGGAAAGAAGGUAGAAGGCUGUUCCCCAGGAGCAAUUUUAGUUUGUGCCUGGUUUCACCGAAUAAGGAAAGGAAGGCUGAGACAGAAAGGGAACCAACUGAUCUCUAUGCAUCCUGGGAUGGAGAUGUUAAUACCCAUCAGGAAGAUAAGAAAGUUAUUCAAGCUACGCUGAAUUGAAAAGUCCCUGGUGGCCUCAGAGAGACAACUCUGUGUCAACAGAGCCUCAGGUGAACUACUCCGGACUCCUGAAGCAACACCAUCCUGCACAUGGCUUCCCAUCUUUCUGGGAUGGGCAAGAGCAAAGGCCCUCUAAACCAAGGAAAUAAAGCCCUCCUUCUACUACUGUAGGUACA
This 701-nucleotide long non-coding RNA is filed under the name Anser brachyrhynchus (Pink-footed goose). RNAcentral's name for it is "lncRNA (ENSABRG00000006706.1)". Lineage: Eukaryota; Metazoa; Chordata; Aves; Anseriformes; Anatidae. The record is from RNAcentral.